UGAUAAGCUAAUGUCAGGUGGCCAGUGU
RNAcentral lists this non-coding RNA (28 nucleotides) under Homo sapiens (human). Lineage: Eukaryota; Metazoa; Chordata; Mammalia; Primates; Hominidae. The record is from RNAcentral.